This 301-nucleotide ribosomal RNA is filed under the name uncultured bacterium. RNAcentral describes it as "partial 16S ribosomal RNA". It matches the Rfam family "Bacterial small subunit ribosomal RNA", at positions 509 to 807 of the family's 1533-position model. The record is from RNAcentral.
CAGUAGCCACGGUAAUACGAAGGGGGCUAGCGUUGUUCGGAAUCACUGGGCGUAAAGAGCACGUAGGCGGAUCUUUAAGUCAGAGGUGAAAUCCCGAGGCUCAACCUCGGAACUGCCUUUGAUACUGGGGAUCUCGAGUCCGGGAGAGGUGAGUGGAACUGCGAGUGUAGAGGUGAAAUUCGUAGAUAUUCGCAAGAACACCAGUGGCGAAGGCGGCUCACUGGCCCGGAACUGACGCUGAGGUGCGAAAGCGUGGGGAGCAAACAGGAUUAGAUACCCGCGUAGUCCCUGUCUCUUAUAC